Molecule: ribosomal RNA, 407 nt
Filed under: uncultured bacterium
Lineage: Bacteria
Description: partial 16S ribosomal RNA
Rfam family: Bacterial small subunit ribosomal RNA
Source: RNAcentral
GACGAACGCUGGCGGCGUGCCUAAUACAUGCAAGUAGGACGCAGUUGCGAACGGGUGAGUAACGCGUAGGUAACUACCUAUUAGAGGGGGAUAACACUUGGAAACGAUAGCUAAUACCGCAUACUAGUAGAUGGACCUGCGUUGUAUUAACUAGUAGGUAGGGUAAUGGCCUACCUAGGCAACGAUACAUAGCCGACCUGGAGGGGUGAACCGCCACAACGGGAAUGAGAAACCGCCCCGGCUCCCACGGGAGGCAGCAGUAUGGAAUCUUCGGCAAUGGGGGGAACCCUGACCGAGCAACGCCGCGGGAGUGAAGAAGGUUUUCGGAUCGUAAAGCUCUGUUGUUAAGGAAGCGGUACUUAACCAGAAAGGGACGGCUAACUACGUGCCAGCAGCCGCGGUAAUUC